Molecule: long non-coding RNA, 3769 nt
Filed under: Meleagris gallopavo (turkey)
Lineage: Eukaryota; Metazoa; Chordata; Aves; Galliformes; Phasianidae
Description: lncRNA (ENSMGAG00000022995.1)
Source: RNAcentral
UCUUCUCGGGGCUCGCGGAGGGCCGCCGCUGGGCACCCACGUGGCCUUUUGAGAAGGGCGGGAUGGGACCAUAUGCUUUUCCUUCCACCCCCUCCCCCCUCGUUGUAACUUCAGGAGCGCGAUCUCGUUCCCAUCAGGGAGAUGCGGUGGGACAGCUGGUGGUGUGUUCCUUAUAGGAGAGACAGGAGUUUUUCUUCUGGUAAGCAAGGUAUUGAGCCUCGUCUCUGUCCUCAGCAAGGUGACAGUUGAUGAGAAGAUAUUUCUACGGAGAAGUCACGGUGGAUUUGGCAAGGGAAAAUGAUGCUGGACCAAGCCGGUAGGUAGCCUUCUGUGUUGUGACUGGUUAGACGAGAGAAGGGCAGUAGAAUAUCACUCCUGUCAGUAAAUAUCUGAAGUGUGGUAGCGUAGCAAUGGGGCAUGGGCUCGUUCAGACAUUGGGAGCAGCAUUCGUGGAGUAGAAUGUGAGAAGUCAGAAUGCUUUUGCUGUGAGAGCGAUGGAAUAGGCUGCCUGCAGAGAGUCCCUUUGUCUGGGGAUCUUGAAGUUGCAUUGGGACGCUUUGCUGGGUUCCUGUCACAAGGGAGCAUGUAGCAGCGAGGAUCUGCCUGAGGAUGGGAUGAAGGAGGUAUGUCUCCUUAGUGUUUCAUGGAGGUGUUUGGACAGGCUUGGGAUUGUGCUGGUGAGAGUGUAUGGAGUGAGGUAAGUGGUGUCCUUUUGUCCUUGACCUGUGUGCUGGUGCCAGGGGCCACAAGUCUUUUUUGUUUGAGGGUGAUGGUAGGUGAGUCUUUUGGUGUAUCUGGAUUUCAUCCCUAAAGGUGUGUGGUAGGUCUGGUCCUGGAGGAAUGGACUGGACUGAGGGAGAGGUGCAGCCUGCAAGGCUCUGGCAACUGUUGGUUUUUUUUUUCUUCAGGUCCUGGUGCAGCUGGUUGCAGUGCUGCAUGUGUGGAAGAGAUGUGCCAGCUGUAUCUCUGGACAGAAGUGUUUCUUCAGUAGAGGUUCCCGAGCUCAAAGUUUCUUGCUAGGUAACCCGAGCUCGUGCUUCCUGGCAAAGCCCUUUGUGUUGAGUCUCGAAUGAGAGAACAUCCCACAUCAGAAGGGACUCCUGCCUCCUUGCUCUCUAUGGCACUGCCUAGGCUUCAGCUGCUCUGAGUGACGUCCAAAUGCUGUCUGUUCCAAUACCUCCUCCCUUCUUUCUGGCAAGUUUUCUCUUAUCUACCAUCUGAACCUCCUCUGCCCUAACAUCAGGUUGUUCCUUCCCAUCCUAUUGCUAGCUAUAGGGGAAAAGAAGCUGACCCUUGCCACAGCCUCCUUUCAGCUGGUUGGAGAGAGGGAGUUUCAGCCCUUCCUUGAAUGCUUUUUAAGACCUGUAUUCCUUUUUUGUCUUGUACUGCAUUGCCCUGAACUGCACACAACACUCACCCUGAGCAGACUGCAGUUCUCCUAAUUUAGUGAAAUCAGUAAACAUAAUAAAUACACAUUUGACUCUUGUGUCCUGCUCAUUUAUAGAAAUACCCAGGAGACCUGCCUCUGACAAGAAGCUCUGCAAUCUGACUGGUGCCUAUCUCCCAGCUUCUUGCAAUUACGUUUACUCUAGGAAAUGCUUGGAGCCUUUUUUUUUUUUUAUGGGGCUGUCAUUGCUUAGCUGUUUGUUUUAAGAUAUACAAGUAGGAAGAACUGUUUUCUGAUAUGGGUUCUGAUAAAGGUAUAUCCCCUUACCUACUCAAAGACAUAAUACAUGCUUGGAACUAAGCCACAAGUGAAUACAUCUCCCUCCUGUAACUUGGCUGUUCUCUCAAGUGUUGGAGGGGCUCUGAGUCAUGAUAAACUUGUAGGAGUAGUUAGAAAACAGAAGAGACAGCAAUUACUCAAUCAGGAUGUAUUAGACAGUUGAAGUAAAUGGAUGCGUCCCUCUAAUAGAGGAGUGAAUUAAGAUCUCUCUUAAAUCAGUAAUGAAUUCAUAGUUAUGAAUUCAUUGGGUGAGCUUCUCUCACCCAAAGUUGGAUGUUUUUAACUGCUACAAUCCAAGUCAUUUCACAGUUCACAUUAUUAGCAUGUAUCCAGAAUGGCUGAGCAAGAUUUAUGGUUUGCAGCUGUAAAGCCUGAAACCACCAAAAAAAAAAUCCCUCUCGUGGUCUGUAAUGUAUUUCCUGGGUGCCUGUGUUCGGAAGAGAGCUUUCAACAUGCAUACCGCUCUUUGUAAUCUAUUUUCUUAUAAAUGCAAGUACAAACUCUCCUUGCCCUUGCUUUAGCCAGAGGCCAGGGCUAUACAAGUGUAUUCCUCUAUUAGUGAAGAAAAAAAAGGAUUUCCUUUCUUUUAAGUUUUUAUAAGUUUUUAUGACAAAUCAGAAACAAAAUCCUCAAGCCUUAUCUCAUGUAAGCUUGUCAACAACAAUGGCAUUUGACUGUGAACAGUUUCAAUAACUUGACCUUAGUUCUGUCAUUGUUUAUAUAGAGCACCUAUCCCAUGGCACAUGAGAAAGCUCUAAUCUUCUCUAGUAGCUUAUGCUUACGAGUGGUAACAUCCAUAGUCAUCUCCCUUCUCCAUCAACUCCUGUUACCAAGCUGAGAAGAUACAUUCCUCAAUGAGCAUCAAUGAAUGUCAAACUAAGAGGAUUUUUUACUUGAAAAUAAUAAAAAUGAAACUGAACUGUAUAGGGACAAUAGGUCUCACACUUCCUUACCUAAUUUAGCCUUUCUCAGCAGUGCAUAGGUUCGUAAGUACCCAGUGCAACAAAAAACAGUGGUACAAGGACUAAAAGUAAGGAAAGAUCAAAAUUUCAGAUUUCAUCUUUGUAGCUGCACUGGUGCAAUGAGAAGAUAUCAAAAAAAGAAGAAUGCUCACGCAUCUCUGAAGAUACAGGCUCGUGGAAGAACUCCACCAAGGAGGGAUCUCCUGGAAAAGAUCCUUCCUCAGUGGCAGUCAGCCCUUAAAUGAGGUUUAUUAAGAGGGGUGGAGUCUGGCUCCAGUCCUUCCCACAGAUGAAUCGCCUUCACCUGUGCUCCCAAGCCUGACCUGUCUCUUCUUCCAGGUGCUCAAUCAGUGGUUUGGGCCCCGACUCGGCAGUUCCCUUGCAGUCAUGCAAAUCUUAGUGCUUACAAUAUAAGCUAUUUAGACUAACGAGACACACCGGCCUUGAGAGGUCAGAGAGAACUGCUUCCCGGAGGGAAGUGGAACUGCUCAUCCUUCUCAACACCUUUCCCCAGAGAUGAGAUCCAAAAAACUUUUCUAGCCUAACAAAAGCACACGAGAACCAGACAAACAAACUUGAGGAAGAAAUCUGAGCUCACUGGUUGAUUCUGCUGGGGAAGACAGCUGUGGAGAUGGAUGGGCCGACAGUUUUUUUUCUUGUUCUGUUUUCAACAGUAAUCUAAUAAAGUAAGAUCAUCAAACAUAAGAGCGCAUGCCUGAAGUCACAGUCUGAGUCGCUGAAACCUCUUCUCAAUUAUUUACGCUGGGAUCAAGGCAGAAGUCUGAGGUCUCACUUAGAAAAGCUGCAGGAAGAAUUUGCUCAGUCCCCAGACAGGGCCAUCAUCCACCUCUUAAAAGAAAUUUAAUUGCCGUAUCCUCAGGAACUAACUGGUUUCCAACCCGUCUGAUUUCCAGAUGUAAAUUUGCAAAUACUCCAACUCAGAGUAUUUUACUAAUUUUUUCUAAUAAAAUAUCUAGGAAAAUACACUUUCACGCGGCCCAAAUCGUUAACACCGCAGUACAUUCUGUGCUUGGAAAAGUGCCAUUUUAAAUUACCACACACAAGAUUCACAGGAUUAAGA